GCAGACACAUUCCAGCCAACCAGCAGCAGACCCUCCCUCCCAGACCCUCCCACCUCCUGGUCAGCAUCCAUUUUACAUUCAUUGUGAAGCUGCAUUCUUAGUGAGCUGUCCAGAAGGUGGGAGGGUCUGGGAGGGAGGGUCUGCUGCUGAUUGGCUGGAAUGUGUCUG
Molecule: microRNA precursor, 168 nt
Filed under: Pelobates cultripes (western spadefoot toad)
Lineage: Eukaryota; Metazoa; Chordata; Amphibia; Anura; Pelobatidae
Source: RNAcentral